RNAcentral lists this ribosomal RNA (425 nucleotides) under uncultured bacterium. RNAcentral's name for it is "partial 16S ribosomal RNA". It matches the Rfam family "Bacterial small subunit ribosomal RNA", at positions 354 to 796 of the family's 1533-position model. The record is from RNAcentral.
GUGGGGAAUCUUGCGCAAUGGGCGAAAGCCUGACGCAGCCAUGCCGCGUGAAUGAUGAAGGUCUUAGGAUUGUAAAAUUCUUUCACCGGGGACGAUAAUGACGGUACCCACAGAAGAAGCUCCGGCUAACUUCGUGCCAGCAGCCGCGGUAAUACGAAGGGGGCUAGCGUUGCUCGGAAUUACUGGGCGUAAAGGGCGCGUAGGCGGACAGCUUAGUCAGAGGUGAAAGCCCAGGGCUCAACCUUGGAAUUGCCUUUGAUACUGGCUGUCUUGAGUUUGGGAGAGGUGAGUGGAACUCCGAGUGUAGAGGUGAAAUUCGUAGAUAUUCGGAAGAACACCAGUGGCGAAGGCGACUCACUGGCCCAAUACUGACGCUGAGGCGCGAAAGCGUGGGGAGCAAACAGGAUUAGAAACCCGAGUAGUCC